AUGGACCACUUUAUUAUCAACACUGACGACAUAGCUGACAUGCUGAGGACAAUAGACUUCCAAUCAGUCUCCCAGGGCGAAGACGCCGAGGAGGGCUAUGAAGCUGAAGAGGUGGUGGCAACAGAAGAUGAGGUGCCACAGCUGAACGCGGAGGGAGAGAGCAGCAGAUAUGACUCAGGUGGACUCCUUUCAGGUCAGGCUGCAGUCGCCAGAUGACAAAAGUAAAACAAGAACCCACUCUUAAACCAUGUCUGCAGCCGAAUGUUUCAUGGUCAUUUGUAAGCACACAUUAGUUGCUCCAGAUGUUUAAAAAACUAAAAAAUGAAAAAGAACAGCUUGACACUGAUUUUAAUGGUGAGCAAUGUAAUUUUCCAGAUUAUCGCCCUGCCAAUGACCUGCUUUGUUCCUCCUUUCCCAUUGCUUUGUGUGGAAUGUUUGAAACUACUAUUAUUAAUAUCGUCAUGUGAACAAUUUUACGCGACUCGUCACUUAUCAAGCCCAUGAGUACCGGCAAUAAAGAUGAAAAAAAUGUAUUAAAUUUCAUUAAUGAUUACAGGGAGUGCAUUUUAUUUUUCCUUUAACCUAACAAAACCUCACUGAGGUCAGUCCAUCUGCUUUUGCAUAAUUGUUCGGACUAUUCAGUUAACAUAAUAGCCACUCAGCUUUCUACUGACAGCUUGCUGUCCUCACUAAAAGCUUCUCCAUAUCUCACACUAUUUGCUGCUAUAUAUAGUUUUUGCUGACUUAAGAAAACUCAGCAGCAAUGACAUACGGCUUCAAAUCAGGUGUUCUUCAUUUCAUGUGCUGAAGAUGAAAUUUCCUUUUCCCCAGCAGACUAAUUCAAGGAAAAUGACCAUGACAUUUUAGCCUGGUUGUUAUCAGUUCUUUAUACCAUAUUCCUCCCAAGGUUUUCAGAAGGCAGGGAACUUUGCUAAUAACAUCACUUUGUCGCUGACUAAUGACAGGGAUCUAUACAUUUCAAAAGAAGGCUCAGGUCAUAGGGACUGAAAAAAAUGCUUCUUUUAAUGUUGGGUAAUAUUCAUCUUUCACAGAGGAGUCACUAAUAAAAAAUUAUUUCUACAGUUUGAUAUAUGACACCCAUAUGCAAAACAAUGAAAAGAUACUUGUGAGAAUCUGAAACCUAUAUUUUCUUCAUCUUGUGGAAUAACAUUUGGAAAUAAACAUACUUUCCUAAGCUCACAGCCACUGUAAUACUUAGUAUUGACGGACACAAUGUGCAAUAUUAAAAAACAAACAACAAAAUGUUUUGGCUUUAUGCAAAGCCAAAAUUUUAUAUAACACCUUUCUUUUUUUUCAGUCAAAAAAAGAUACUAAAAUCAACAUUUAUUUGUUUAACUCUGCCUAUCAAUAGCCUUGAUCAAACUAUUAGACAUUUGUAGUAGAUGCUGAGAAUUUACUAAGAAACUUUCAUUGGUCAACAUAAUUUCAAAAUAUUUGGUUUUAAACAAAGCUUAAUAUUAGAUAUACAGUUAGAAUUGAGAGGAGGUACAUCAAUGUCAGGUUAAGAUUAUAAACAGUUCUGGAUAUUAUUCACUCCAUAAUGUCUGAUAAUUUGGUUAUCAUAGUAAAUGAGAAUGUUCUCAAAUGAUUUAUCAGGAUAAAUAAUUAAAAAGUACCAUGACUGACUUUGAGAAGGGCUGUUUCAGUACUACAGUAUUUAGAAGUCUAAACUCAAACUGAAAACAUACAAAGUUUAUUGUAGGAUGAUUGUUUAAUUAUUACAAUGACCCAAAGUUUUUGUGAAGGUUUUCCUAAACUUUUGGUGAAGAUUUGACUUAGUUUAAGAACAUUUGAACAUUUGAGGUUUGAGGUAGAACAACAUAUAAGUACUUGGGUUUUCCUUUUCUAGGGUUAGAAUGUUUAGGCACUGGUGUAACAGUAAUUUGAAAUGCAGCAAAUAGUUAAGUAAUCGAAGACACAUUGAUCAUUUUUGUUCAAGAGGAGAGGAACUAGAUCUAAGCUAAGACAGGAUAUAUUUUAGAAUCCUAAAUGUGAAAAAAACAGUGCGUCUUAUAUGAGGUGUCUGAGGAUGCUAAACUUAGGUUGAGCCCAUUCUAGGAUAUUGCAUAUGUUACACUGAAGAUUCAAUAUUAAUGAAUGAACUGCAUAUGAAAUACUAAUAAUCCAGAUGAACAGCUGACUCUAGUUUGCAGACCCCCCCACACACACACAUUUCCCUCCCUCUUUUAACCCUUUUUUGUGCUAUUGACCAAAUCAAUUAUAAUGCUAUCUUAUAUUAAAAAUUCAACCACAUAUAUAUAUGAAGGAAAAGGUGGAGAUCAUGGUAGAUUUGAAUUUUCCUCACAUAUCGGGGAAAAAAAAUCACACAUCAGGAAAAAUCAUCAGGGAAAACUCCAUCUGAAACUGAAGUGGUUGUCCUGGCUCACACUAAGUUUUAUUCUUACUACGUUCUUAGUUCUUACUACUGUAUGUUAGAACACAUAUUAGAAGGAAUAAAUGUGUUGAUUAAGUUUUUUCAAAGAAUUUAAAGUAGAGGUGAGCCCUAAGGAAGCAUUAGAGAACUGUAGUUUGCCAUUUGGGGAUUAUGAUGUGAUGUAUAUUUUACAUUAUUUACAUUAUUAUAAAAGCUGACUAUGGGGGAUUGAAAGAGCUUAAGAGAAACAGGAUUUUAAAUCAAUAGAGAAUGAAAUAAAAUGCUUAGAAAUAGAUUAUUUCCAACGGGAAGGAAAACACUAGAAACAAAGUGGCCCAAGUGGUUUAAUAAGUCAAGAAAAAUGCACAGAUCAAGCACAUUAUAAAGGAUAAGAAAGGAAUAGUGUGAAAAAAUAGUUCAGAGCAUACCAAACACAACUAAAAAGGAAUAUUAGAAAGACGAGGAAAGAUCAUUUGCAAUAGAGGCUUGAAUAAGUGUUUAUAAUCUUAGAACAACAAAAGAACAGUAAGGGACUAAGUGUUAAAAGUUAAUAAUGGGAAAGCUUUAGACAAUGAAAGGGAAACGGCUGACAUAUUCAGUGAAGCUCACUCAGGUUUUCAACGAGGGAGAAUUUGGCAACAUGCCUCAUGCUGAGGAAAGAAAGUUCAAUGUUAAUAUUGUUUAAUAUAGAACAGGCAGAGGUGUUUAAGAUACUAGAAGCACUUAAGAUAAAUAUCCUGGCCUAAUGAUAUUCUACCAAUUAUACUUAAGGCAGCAUUAUAAAGUAAUGGUAAAAAAAACCCUUUCAAAUUUAAUUCGGGACAGGGGUAAAAGCUAUUAAGUAGAAAAUUGUUAAUCUAGC
Molecule: long non-coding RNA, 3257 nt
Filed under: Lepisosteus oculatus (spotted gar)
Lineage: Eukaryota; Metazoa; Chordata; Actinopteri; Semionotiformes; Lepisosteidae
Description: lncRNA (ENSLOCG00000021200.1)
Source: RNAcentral